GACGAACGCUGGCGGCGUGCUUAACACAUGCAAGUCGAACGGAAAGGCCCUGCUUUUGUGGGGUGCUCGAGUGGCGAACGGGUGAGUAACACGUGAGUAACCUGCCCUUGACUUUGGGAUAACUUCAGGAAACUGGGGCUAAUACCGGAUAGGAGCUCCUGCUGCAUGGUGGGGGUUGGAAAGUUUCGGCGGUUGGGGAUGGACUCGCGGCUUAUCAGCUUGUUGGUGGGGUAGUGGCUUACCAAGGCUUUGACGGGUAGCCGGCCUGAGAGGGUGACCGGCCACAUUGGGACUGAGAUACGGCCCAGACUCCUACGGGAGGCAGCAGUGGGGAAUAUUGCACAAUGGGCGGAAGCCUAAUGCAGCAACGCCGCGUGCGGGAUGACGGCCUUCGGGUUGUAAACCGCUUUCGCCUGUGACGAAGCGUGAGUGACGGUAAUGGGUAAAGAAGCACCGGCUAACUACGU
This 467-nucleotide ribosomal RNA is filed under the name uncultured bacterium. RNAcentral describes it as "partial 16S ribosomal RNA". It matches the Rfam family "Bacterial small subunit ribosomal RNA", at positions 28 to 506 of the family's 1533-position model. The record is from RNAcentral.